Molecule: ribosomal RNA, 209 nt
Filed under: uncultured bacterium
Lineage: Bacteria
Description: partial 16S ribosomal RNA
Rfam family: Bacterial small subunit ribosomal RNA
Source: RNAcentral
UACAGAGGGUGCGAGCGUUGUCCGGAAUCACUGGGCGUAAAGGGCGCGUAGGUGGCGCGACAAGUCAGUGGUGAAAGUUCGACGCUCAACGUCGAAUCGGCCACUGAUACUGUUGGGCUUGAGCACUGUAGAGGCUAAUGGAAUUCCGGGUGUAGCGGUGGAAUGCGUAGAGAUCCGGAAGAACACCGGUGGCGAAGGCGGUUAGCUGG